AAAACUUCUUAAGUAGUGCUUUAAAGUACACACACACACACACAUGUCCCAAAAGUAAUUUAAACCAUAAAGCAUUUAUUGCUGAAUUUCAACACAUAGUUGGCAAACCGCUCCAAAUAUAGAGGGCAAACAGCUAUUGCGUGCAUGCAUUGAAAGGUCCAGGCAUCAGAUAUCAUGGCGGCAGUUCACAGCUGUUGGUCACGUUCCAGUAGGCGGUCUGUCCAUAGCGGAACGCCCCCUGUCCUGGUGCUGUUACUGUGACUGCAGUCUCCAGCAGGGCCGAGAGAGUGAGGGGCUCACACAGUUCACUACACUGAUCUUUGACCUCAGUGCUCUGGGUCAGAUCUAGGGCAUUUCCUUUUUCAUGAUCACAGUCUUGUGAAACCCGAACCCUCCAAGAUCGCCCCACAGUUCCCCAAUAGCUGUCCCUCAACCAUUCGAGACCCCUCCCACAGUCCCCCUGGAAGAAAAAAAAAAGAAAAACAAUAUUUUCCAUUCCCCACCCCCAAGAGUCCCCCAAUACACCAACAACCAAGAGAAUGAACUAAAGAGAAAAAAGGAAAAGACAGAAGAAAACAGCAAACAACAAUGCAUUUAAAAAAUAAAUUAAAAAAAACAUUUAAAACAAAGGACAACUGUAUAUGUUUGUGUGCAUGUCUGGCACUAUUACAUGUAUGUGUGUGUUCUUGUAUGUGUUUAUUUGAAUGAGAGUGUGUGUAUAUGCAUGUGUACAAACACCUGCAGGGCAUCAGCCUCAGGCAAACCGGCAUUAGUUGUAAAAACACUGCCACUUAGUGUCAUUCAAAUGUACUUUUAUUAUCUUUUAUUUUGACUCUUUUUUUUCCUUUAUCUUUUGACCAUCAUUCUCUCUCACACACAGCAACUCCACUCCCACUUGUCUCCAAUUCCACAUACCAACCCUCAGCUUCCCUCAGCCCAUCCCUUCCAUCUCUGCUGGCCACCCACUUCGGGUUUCUACGCAACACAUAUCUUUCAACUAUGCUAUGAUGUUUAACGUACAAUUUCAAUCUAUCUAAUCGAAUAGAAACUACAGAUUGCGUGUUGAAGAUAAAUACUUUUACUAAGAGUAUUAGUAUAUUAGUAAUUGACUGACCCGGUCUCUCCAGAUCUCCUAACAGUACUAUUUCUAGGGUCAAUUUUAGAUCAAUGCUAUGCAUUUUCAGCCAUUCCUGAACCUGAGACCAGAAACAGGCUACCUGAGGGCAAUACCAAAAUAAAUGGUCUAUUGAUUCUGUAUCCUCACAACAAAAUCUGCAGAGUUUCGAUGAUUUUAUGCCCCAAAUAUUCAAUAUUUUGUUGGUGGCAAGAAUUCUAUAUAAUAAUUUUAGCUGAAAAGCACGAAGUCUUGAAUCUUGCGUUGUUUUAUAUAUCAACUCAUACACCCUGUACCAUGGAAUUGGUACAUCAAAAAUCUCUUCCCAACUAUUUUGCAAUCUGUAUGGCACAGUUGUCAACAUCCUGGUCCUCGAAUGAAACUGGUAUACUUUCCUAUUUAUGCUAUUUUUAUUCCUCUGCCAGUUUUGAUCCUUUAUAUUGGGCAGACAGACCAGUUCCCUACCUCCUCCCGCUGCCACUCGCCUCCUCCAUUUUUGGGGCAAUGCUGUAAUCAAUUGGUUUUACUCUUGGAUUGAGCAGACCUUCUCGUACAAUUCUGAUAACUACAUGAAGGACAUAACUCUACCAUUACAAUUUACAAUAUAAUUUAAGAACAAAAUACCAUUUUCAAUUUUUCAUAAAUACAGGUAUUUUAUCAACCAGCACAUUUGAGUUCAGCCAUAUUUGUUGUAAUAUUUGUUCUAUCUUUUCAGGGGGAUGAAAUUGAAAUUGUAGCCAGCUCUGCAAUACAAUGAAAUACCUUCUUGCCAGUUGUCCCGGUCUGAAAACGAUGACCUAUCCUCAGAGAACUGCACACAGAGACUUGUUUGCACCCAUGAUGGAGCUCUGUGGGAACACAAAGUACUGCCAUUCAUCAACAUCCCUAACUAUACAUGGUAAUGGAGAAAAAUAUGAUGUUUCAAAUGAUUUGUGACAACAACUCAAGACCACUCAACUCUUUC
Molecule: long non-coding RNA, 2078 nt
Filed under: Salmo salar (Atlantic salmon)
Lineage: Eukaryota; Metazoa; Chordata; Actinopteri; Salmoniformes; Salmonidae
Description: lncRNA (ENSSSAG00000106897.1)
Source: RNAcentral